Molecule: ribosomal RNA, 450 nt
Filed under: uncultured bacterium
Lineage: Bacteria
Description: bacterial SSU rRNA
Rfam family: Bacterial small subunit ribosomal RNA
Source: RNAcentral
CCGCCAAGGGGGGACGGUUAAGUGGCGGACGCGGGUGAUUAACGCAUGGGGUAAAUCGGCCGGAGAGGUGGGGAAUAACCCCUCCGAAAGGGGGGACUAAUACGGUAUAAGACCACGUCCCGACGGGGGAUGCGGUCAAAAGUGGCCUCUGCUUGCAAGAUAUUGCUCUUCGAUGAGCCCAUGUCCCAUCAGUUAGUUGGCGGGGUAAUGGCCCACCAAGGCGAUGACGGGUAGCUGGUCUGGAGAGGACGACCAGCCACACUGGCACUGAGACACGGGCCAGACUCCUACGGGAGGCAGCAGUGGGGAAUAUUGGACAAUGGGCGCAAGCCUGAUGCAGCGACGCCGCGUGAGGGAUGAAUGCCUUCGGGUUGUAAACCUCUUUCAGCAGGGAAGAAGCGAAAGUGACGGUACCUGCAGAAGAAGCGCCGGCUAACUACGUGCCAGCAU